Molecule: ribosomal RNA, 482 nt
Filed under: uncultured bacterium
Lineage: Bacteria
Description: partial 16S ribosomal RNA
Rfam family: Bacterial small subunit ribosomal RNA
Source: RNAcentral
AUUGAACGCUGGCGGCAUGCUUUACACAUGCAAGUCGAACGGUAACAGGCCGCAAGGUGCUGACGAGUGGCGAACGGGUGAGUAAUGCAUCGGAACGUGCCCAGUCGUGGGGGAUAACUACUCGAAAGAGUAGCUAAUACCGCAUACGAUCUAUGGAUGAAAGCGGGGGACCUCAAGGCCUCGCGCGAUUGGAGCGGCCGAUGUCAGAUUAGGUAGUUGGUGGGGUAAAGGCUCACCAAGCCAACGAUCUGUAGCUGGUCUGAGAGGACGACCAGCCACACUGGGACUGAGACACGGCCCAGACUCCUACGGGAGGCAGCAGUGGGGAAUUUUGGACAAUGGGCGCAAGCCUGAUCCAGCAAUGCCGCGUGCAGGAAGAAGGCCUUCGGGUUGUAAACUGCUUUUGUACGGAACGAAACGGCUCUGGUUAAUACCCGGGGCUAAUGACGGUACCGUAAGAAUAAGCACCGGCUAACUACGUG